Ornithodoros turicata is the source of this 484-nucleotide long non-coding RNA. RefSeq lists it as uncharacterized. NCBI's taxonomy places the organism in Eukaryota, Metazoa, Arthropoda, Arachnida, Ixodida, Argasidae. The transcript has 3 exons. The record is from RefSeq and is a predicted model, not a curated record.
AGGAGAAGUGUGUGCUCUGCUGCACGACAAGUGCACGCCACAAGACUGUUCCCUCAAGCCUUUCUGUACCACACAGAACGAGAAUUGCACGUGCAGCGAUGGCUGUGUCCCGUACUUCUCCAAGGAAACCUCAGGCGAUCACGCUGUUUGUCCCCCAUGUCUGUGCAAGGUAUACGUUCAGGGAAGCAACGGAAACAAAACAACGGACGAAACUUCUGAGGAGAACCACGAGGACGGUGCCGAGGACCACACUGACGUGGAUCCAAAUGAGCAACCCGAAGACGGUGCCGAGGAGAACACUGAUGUGGAUCCCAAUGAGCAACCCGAAGACGGUGCCGAGGAGAACACUGAUGUAGAUCCCAAUGCGCAGCCAGAAGACCACACUAAUGAGGAUUCUGAUGAGCAGCCCGAGGACCAUCCCGAAGAGGAGCAGGAGAGUGAUGUCGACGCUGAACAUGACUCUGAGAGCAAGAAUGAAGACGAA